Molecule: ribosomal RNA, 497 nt
Filed under: uncultured bacterium
Lineage: Bacteria
Description: partial 16S ribosomal RNA
Rfam family: Bacterial small subunit ribosomal RNA
Source: RNAcentral
GAUGAACGCUGGCGGCGUGCCUAAUACAUGCAAGUCGAGCGAACAGAUGAGGAGCUUGCUCCUCUGACGUUAGCGGCGGACGGGUGAGUAACACGUGGAUAACCUACCUAUAAGACUGGGAUCACUUCGGGAAACCGGAGCUAAUACCGGAUAAUAUAUUGAACCGCAUGGUUCAAUAGUGAAAGACGGUUUUGCUGUCACUUAUAGAUGGAUCCGCGCCGCAUUAGCUAGUUGGUAAGGUAACGGCUUACCAAGGCAACGAUGCGUAGCCGACCUGAGAGGGUGAUCGGCCACACUGGAACUGAGACACGGUCCAGACUCCUACGGGAGGCAGCAGUAGGGAAUCUUCGGCAAUGGGCGAAAGCCUGACGGAGCAACGCCGCGUGAGUGAUGAAGGUCUUCGGAUCGUAAAACUCUGUUAUUAGGGAAGAACAAAUGUGUAAGUAACUAUGCACGUCUUGACGGUACCUAAUCAGAAAGCCACGGCUAACUACGUG